This is a long non-coding RNA of Cyprinus carpio carpio, 1116 nucleotides long. The record is from Ensembl. NCBI's taxonomy places the organism in Eukaryota, Metazoa, Chordata, Actinopteri, Cypriniformes, Cyprinidae.
CAAAUAUUGUCCUCCUAACAAACCAUACAUCAAUGGAGAGAUUAAUUAUUCAGCUUUCAGAUGAUGUAUAAAUCUCAAUUUUGAAAAAUGUACCUUUAUAUAUGAGUAAUUGGAUUACUUGUUUAUCCAACUUUAUAUAAAGAGCUGGCCGAUAAUACAAUUACAUUUUGUUAAAAAUGUAAAAAAUCCGUCCGUAUUUGUUUUUGAGGGUUCAUUUGUGCUGUAUGUGAGCUGCAGAUGCGUCUGGUGUUUCUGUGGAGGGUUUGAGACGAGCCCGAUGAUAAAGACUGACCCCAGAUCAGAGGCGCUGUGUUUCUGUGUGUUGUGUAAGAUAGAGAGAGAGAAGAGACUCCAGCUUCACUCCUCCCACACAGGAGCAUCACGGACUGACACGCACCGAUAUAUAUAGAGCGCAAACUUUUAUUCUUUCACAUGUGGGUGUUCUCUGUGUGUGUGUCCUUGACUGACUAAGUGACUGACAAAUGCUUUGAAAGCCUUGAUGAUUCUGCGUUGAGUCUGAAAACAUCUUCAUCAGGGCCAGAAACAAAUCCAGCCUGAGAGAAAUCAGUACAAACGAGAGAGAAGCACAGCUGUGUUUGAUUUGGGUUCUCUGUGUUGUGGCCGGUUGCCAGGGUGGAGCAGGGUAGUUGCUAGGGUGUUUUUGAGUGGUAGUCAGUGCAUUUGGUAAAUGGUUGCUCGGGUGUUCUGAGUGGUUGUUCGUGUAGUGUUAUAUGGUUGCUAGGGUGUUCUGAGUGGUUGUUAGUGUAGUGUUAUGGUUGCUAAGGUGUUCUGAGUGGUUGUUAAUGUGUUGCUGUAUAGUUGCUAAGUGGUUGCUAGGGUGUUCUGAGUGGUUGUUAGUGUAGUGUUAUAUGGUUGCUAGGGUGUUCUGAGUGGUUGUCAGUGAUUUGCUAAUUGGUUGCUAAGGUGUUCUGAGUGGUUGCUAAUGCAUUGCUAUACAGUUCCUAGGUGGUUGCUAGGGUGUUCUGAGUGGUUGUUAGUGUAGUGUUAUAUGGUUGUUGGGUGGUUGCUAAGGUGUUUUAAUAUACAGGAUGAGUUCAGUCCUGAAAUUUGGCAUUUAGUUUGCAUUAGUAACCCUAAACAUGAGCUAUAACCACU